This 467-nucleotide ribosomal RNA is filed under the name uncultured bacterium. RNAcentral describes it as "partial 16S ribosomal RNA". It matches the Rfam family "Bacterial small subunit ribosomal RNA", at positions 28 to 507 of the family's 1533-position model. The record is from RNAcentral.
GAUGAACGCUGACAGAAUGCUUAACACAUGCAAGUCAACUUGAAUUUGGGUUUUUAACUUAGGUUUGGGUGGCGGACGGGUGAGUAACGCGUAAAGAACUUGCCUCACAGCUAGGGACAACAUUUGGAAACGAAUGCUAAUACCUAAUAUUAUGAUAAUAGGGCAUCCUAUAAUUAUGAAAGCUAUAAGCGCUGUGAGAGAGCUUUGCGUCCCAUUAGCUAGUUGGAGAGGUAACGGCUCACCAAGGCGAUGAUGGGUAGCCGGCCUGAGAGGGUGAUCGGCCACAAGGGGACUGAGACACGGCCCUUACUCCUACGGGAGGCAGCAGUGGGGAAUAUUGGACAAUGGACCGAGAGUCUGAUCAAGCAAUUCUGUGUGCACGAUGAAGUUUUUCGGAAUGUAAAGUGCUUUCAGUUGGGAAGAAACAAAUGACGGUACCAACAGAAGAAGUGACGGCUAAAUACGUG